RNAcentral lists this ribosomal RNA (253 nucleotides) under uncultured bacterium. RNAcentral's name for it is "partial 16S ribosomal RNA". It matches the Rfam family "Bacterial small subunit ribosomal RNA", at positions 524 to 776 of the family's 1533-position model. The record is from RNAcentral.
UACGUAGGGUGCGAGCGUUAAUCGGAAUUACUGGGCGUAAAGCGUGCGCAGGCGGUGAUGUAAGACAGGUGUGAAAUCCCCGGGCUUAACCUGGGAACUGCAUUUGUGACUGCAUGGCUAGAGUGCGGCAGAGGGGGAUGGAAUUCCGCGUGUAGCAGUGAAAUGCGUAGAUAUGCGGAGGAACACCGAUGGCGAAGGCAAUCCCCUGGGCCUGCACUGACGCUCAUGCACGAAAGCGUGGGGAGCAAACAGG